CUCGUUCCCCGAGCCUGCGAUCCUUGGGAAGGAAACGAAGGCUCUGGGAUAAUCCAUCUCAAAAAUGAAUAUGAUUGGUUGUUGGUAUACAAUGGAAUGUUGCAAUUUUGCAAAAAUUAAUUUUUAACCGUAUAUUUUUAUAUACAACAUGGCGGCCGUUUAGGAGUGUACGAAUAUUGUUUUGGUUUUUCAGAGCUGUGCUAUAUACUAAUACUACAAAGGAAAUGCAAAGAAACGUAUACUUAAUGCGUAUAAUAUCACAACAGUUAAAUGGAGCGUGAAAACUUUACUCAUAUUUGUGUUGUACAGGUUUUCUGUAGUUUUAAUCUAUACAUAGUAUAGAGUACUGAAUUACUGUCAGUACACUCUACACUGUACUAUUUGACUAUAAUAUCAAAUAUGUGCUAUAUUUUGCAAAUAAUAUUUGUGUCAGAAAUGGUUAAUAACUUUUAUUAAUUUGUCUUUGUGUUAUUUAAUUGCGAAGAACUAGUUAAUGACUAGUUUCAAUAAAUCCAAUCUUGGGAUUUACUGUUAUAUAUUUUAUUAUUUAAUGUAUAUACUGUGCUGUAAACUUUUCAAGUGCAGGAGUAUGUAAUACUCAUUUUAACUUGUAGCAUGUAAGCCUUCCCUAUAUGGGUGCAUAUGAAUCUUUUGCUGUUAUAAUUUAUUUAUAGAAGAGUUCAAAAAACCUUUAUUCUCUAAAUAAAUCACAAUUUCACAGGCAGUGAUAUUAACUUGUAUUCCAGUCUGCAUAGACCUAAUGCACCUAUCAAUGUUAACACCCGAGGGGGGGUCGGGCAUAUGUGGGGUAUUUGAUCAUCAAUUGCAUCCCCACCCUGGUGAUUUUGAAUAGCAUUUUGGCCCCGAGUUGGGGCAAUUUGAACCGAAUGACUUUUAUUAACAUAGUAUUUAUUGCAAUUUAUUGCAAAAUGGUGGGGCAUUUGACCAAUAUUUAUUGUCCGACGGUGGGGCAUUUCAUUGAAAAUUUGCUCUAAAAAUCAAAUGCCCCACCUGUGCCCAACCCCCCUCCUCUGGGGCUUAACAUUGACAGGUGCAUACUGCAUAAUACAUAUAAUGAAUUCUUGGGUUUCACUAUGGCAUUUUGCACGUUCUGUCAUUGGUUCUGACGGGGGGACAACCUAAAGAAUAAAUGUAUUGAUGCUUAUGUUGUACUGGAGUGAGCAAAUGAUAUGAAAUUACAUGUAUUUGCUACCAAACACAAGGCCAACACAUACAGUGAAAAAUUAAUUCACUCUGAUGACUGUGUCUCGAUUUAGAGUUGACCACCCAUCAAAUUUAUGAAGUCAUAUGAAACACAAUAAUCUAUUUAAUGAUUUUAAUUUAUUGAGUAGCACAAUAUGCCAAUCCCUUUGUUAAUCUUGUCCACACAGUAAUUCAAAGAAGCCCUGCCCUUGUAGUUAAUUGGAUUCUGUCCAAGAAAACAUCAUAAACCUUUUGAUACAGAUGUUACAAAGUAUGAAUUUCAGAUUGGGAGACCAUAUAAAUAUUUUAAAUAAAUUCAUAUACUACUUUUUUUAAGAAAUGUUCUAUUCAUAUUAAAUGACAGUGAUCAGCCACCAAAACCAGAAUUCGUUUUCAUCAGCUUCCCCCUGGUUAUGACCCCCUGCAGGGAACCACCUAGGGUACAGAUAUAAUUUUGUGAUGAAUGAUAAAAAAUUGCCCAAUAUAAAUGCUGAGCCAUAGAAAUAUUUUUAUUACCAUGGUCAUGACAACUACCCUGUCAAUUUGAUUGCAAUAUCAAAACUUGUUAUUUACACUAUAAAACAACACAUACCUACUCUGAGAAGGGGAGGGGCAACAAAAACUCGUAUAUUUCGGUUUUUUCCCUUCCUUUCCAAUUCAAAUUAUGCUGCCACGAAAACAAUUUCCCGAUUUCCAAUACAAUAAAUUGCCAAAUGCCUGACAAUUUGGGCUAGCGACACCCCUGAAUGCUAUAAUGAUAGCAACCGCUAUAUCUUCAACCUUGAAUGUCGUAUGUAGUACAGUACCGGUAGUUAGUUAAUUAAUGGCAGUAAUGAACAUGAAGUCAAGUACAUUUCCGGCCAUUGAUGAGAAAUUUUGUCCAGAAGUACAGUGAAAUAACAAAAUAGGGUGCACUAAAGAGCAUUGGGGCUUAAAGAUCUAAAGUGAUAAUUAACCAAACAGGUAGACAUGCAGAUGGAUAGCCUGCACACAGACUACAGUAUAUAAUGACAUAUAUAUUAUUAUAAUAUAUAGUCUGCGUGCAGGCUAGCAGAUGGACUGGUUAACCCAUUCAAAUACCAAGUCCAAUACUUUCCCCUUGACGUGUUAAUCAAACAGCUUAAAAUAACAAAGUAGGGCAAACUGAGGCACAUUGCAGCUUAACUUGCUCCAAGUAUAUAAUCAUUGCAAACUAUAAAUCUUUAAUACUAAUUCCUAUCCAGACACGAAAUUUGGUUAUAAUUCAAUAAUUUGAGAAGUGCUGUUGCAUAUAAGGGCAGUUAAAAAAUAUAACAAGGAUUUGGUUUAUAAACUGUUAAUUUCUAGAGAUGAUAUUAAACACAAUACAAACAUGGAAUUCACUAUAUUCAUAUUUUUAAUUAUAUGUUUUAUAAGUCUAAAUUCCUUUUAAUAUUCCUCUGAUAUACAAAUCUUCUGAAAACUUUAAUAUUAUCAAGGUUUAUAACCGACUUAAUAUUAGAAUUGAGACUCUCUUCAGGUAUUUUAAUACUACAGUAGCAAUUAUUAAACACACACUAUUGUAAUUGUUUUUGUUCUUGAAAAUUGCCCUUUCCACGCGCUCUUUCAACCAUUAGAAACAUAGCAGCGUUAAACGGCUAAAUUAUGCUGGAGGAACCACAAAUGUCUCUACAUUUAAAGCUUUUUCAAACUGACACAGAGGUGAAUGGACAAGAUUACAAUUAAUUGUGACAUUUUUCUUCGACAACAGCACUCUUCGCGGCUCCUGCCGGCUCUAUACUGACCCUGUUUCACACGCAAUAUUUUCCUUAUUCAGUCACUAACACACCUUUUGUAUCCCACUAUGAAGAACAUCAACAUUUCCACCAAAACCCCGAAAAAAUAAUCAUUUUAUAGACGAAACAAUAAAAUAUUUCAAACAAUUUGUUUUGCUUUUGCCAACGCAUGCGCAGU
Molecule: non-coding RNA, 3135 nt
Organism: Paramuricea clavata
Lineage: Eukaryota; Metazoa; Cnidaria; Anthozoa; Malacalcyonacea; Plexauridae
Source: the annotation of a GenBank genome assembly